This 404-nucleotide ribosomal RNA is filed under the name uncultured bacterium. RNAcentral describes it as "partial 16S ribosomal RNA". It matches the Rfam family "Bacterial small subunit ribosomal RNA", at positions 28 to 526 of the family's 1533-position model. The record is from RNAcentral.
GACGAACGCUGGCGGCGUGCUUAACACAUGCAAGUCGAGCGGAGCGGCGAACGGGUGAGUAACGCGUGAGUAACUGCCCCCCUCUCUGGGAUAACAGUUGGAAACGGCUGCUAAUACCGGAUAGGGGGGGAUGCCUCGCGUCCUAUCAGCUUGUUGGUGGGGUAGUGGCCUACCAAGGCGACGACGGGUAGCCGGCCUGAGAGGGCGACCGGCCACAUUGGGCUGAGAUACGGACCAAACGCCUACGGGGGGCAUGAGUGGGGAAUAUGGCACAAUGGGGGAAACCCUGAUGAAGAAGUCCGCGUGGGGUAUGACGGCUUUCGGGUUGUAAACCGCUUUCAGCUAUGACGCGGUAGUGGCAGAAGAAGCACCGGCUAACUGCGUGCCAGCAGCCGCGGUAAUUC